UCCGGCUUGUCACCGGCGGUUUCUUCAGAGUGCUCGACCGAAUCGGUAGCAACUGAAGACGAGGGUUGCGCUCGUUGCGGGACUUAACCUUACCUGGGCUAGACAACGACGGAAAGCCCCAUCUCUGGGGGUGUCCGUCGUUGUCUAGCCCAGGUAAGGUUCUUCGCGUUGCGUCGAAUUGAACCACAUGCUCCACCGCUUGUGCGGGCCCCCGUCAAUUCCUUUGAGUUUCAACCUUGCGGCCGUACUUCCCAGGCGGAAUACUUAAUGCGUUAGCUGCGGCACCGGCGGUAACCCGCCGACACUUAGUAUUCAUAGUUUAAGGCGUGGACUAC
Molecule: unclassified non-coding RNA, 335 nt
Filed under: uncultured Nitrospiraceae bacterium
Lineage: Bacteria; Pseudomonadati; Nitrospirota; Nitrospiria; Nitrospirales; Nitrospiraceae
Description: contains 16S-23S intergenic spacer region
Source: RNAcentral